This 255-nucleotide ribosomal RNA is filed under the name uncultured bacterium. RNAcentral describes it as "partial 16S ribosomal RNA". It matches the Rfam family "Bacterial small subunit ribosomal RNA", at positions 524 to 776 of the family's 1533-position model. The record is from RNAcentral.
UACGGAGGUGGCAAGCGUUGUUCGGAAUUACUGGGCGUAAAGGGCGCGUAGGCGGAAUGAUCCGUCCGAUGUGAAAGUGCUACCGCUUAACGGAGCAAAGUCAUCGGAAACAAUCAUUCUUGAGACCGGGAGAGGUGAGUGGAAUUGCUGGUGUAGCGGUGGAAUGUAUAGAUACCAGCAAGAACACCGGUGGCGAAGGCGGCUCACUGGCCCGGAUCUGACGCUGAGUGCGCGAAAGCGUGGGGAGCAAACGGG